This is a non-coding RNA of Podarcis lilfordi (Lilford's wall lizard), 74 nucleotides long. Lineage: Eukaryota; Metazoa; Chordata; Lepidosauria; Squamata; Lacertidae. The record is from the annotation of a GenBank genome assembly.
GCUGGGAUCGUUCGGUCGGUAAAGCAUGAGAUUCUUAAUCCCAGGGUUGUGGGUUUGAUCCCCCACAUUGGGCA